RNAcentral lists this transfer RNA (72 nucleotides) under Malassezia sympodialis ATCC 42132. Its description in RNAcentral is "tRNA-Trp (CCA) (tRNA-Trp-CCA-1-1, tRNA-Trp-CCA-1-2)". It matches the Rfam family "tRNA". Rfam says of the family: Transfer RNA (tRNA) molecules are approximately 80 nucleotides in length. Their secondary structure includes four short double-helical elements and three loops (D, anti-codon, and T loops). Lineage: Eukaryota; Fungi; Basidiomycota; Malasseziomycetes; Malasseziales; Malasseziaceae. The record is from RNAcentral.
GGCUGAGUGGCGCAACGGUAGCGCGUCUGAUUCCAGUCCAGAAGGUUAUCCGUUCGAAUCGGGUCUCGGUCA